UACGAAGGGGGCUAGCGUUGCUCGGAAUCACUGGGCGUAAAGCGCACGUAGGCGGAUUGCUAAGUCAGGGGUGAAAUCCUGGAGCUCAACUCCAGAACUGCCUUUGAUACUGUCGAUCUAGAGUAUGGAAGAGGUGAGUGGAAUUCCGAGUGUAGAGGUGAAAUUCGUAGAUAUUCGGAGGAACACCAGUGGCGAAGGCGGCUCACUGGUCCAUUACUGACGCUGAGGUGCGAAAGCGUGGGGAGCAAACAGG
Molecule: ribosomal RNA, 253 nt
Filed under: uncultured bacterium
Lineage: Bacteria
Description: partial 16S ribosomal RNA
Rfam family: Bacterial small subunit ribosomal RNA
Source: RNAcentral